This 253-nucleotide ribosomal RNA is filed under the name uncultured bacterium. RNAcentral describes it as "partial 16S ribosomal RNA". It matches the Rfam family "Bacterial small subunit ribosomal RNA", at positions 524 to 776 of the family's 1533-position model. The record is from RNAcentral.
UACGUUGGGGGCAAGCGUUGUCCGGAUUUAUUGGGCGUAAAGAGCUCGUAGGCGGUUUGUCGCGUCUGCUGUGAAAACCCGAGGCUCAACCUCGGGCCUGCAGUGGGUACGGGCAAACUAGAGUGCGGUAGGGGAGAAUGGAAUUCCUGGUGUAGCGGUGGAAUGCGCAGAUAUCAGGAGGAACACCGAUGGCGAAGGCAGUUCUCUGGGCCGUAACUGACGCUGAGGAGCGAAAGCGUGGGGAGCGAACAGG